UGGUGUUUCAUGGCCCCCGACGUGCGC
Molecule: small RNA, 27 nt
Filed under: Bombyx mori (domestic silkworm)
Lineage: Eukaryota; Metazoa; Arthropoda; Insecta; Lepidoptera; Bombycidae
Description: ovarian small RNA-35197
Source: RNAcentral